Molecule: transfer RNA, 67 nt
Filed under: Tetrahymena paravorax
Lineage: Eukaryota; Ciliophora; Oligohymenophorea; Hymenostomatida; Tetrahymenidae
Description: tRNA-Met
Source: RNAcentral
GCCGUUUGGAUGGUUCCAGUGAGGGCUCAUUUCCCUCGAUCCAGAAAGUUCGAUUCUUUUAAACGGC